UAGUACGGCGAGUGACCGGGAUGAGCUCAAAUUUGAAAUCUGGCGUCUUUCAGGCGUCCGAGUUGUAAUCUAUAGAGGCGUUUUCCGCGCCGGACCGCGUCCAAGUCUCUUGGAAUAGAGUAUCAAAGAGGGUGACAAUCCCGUACUUGACGCGACAACCGGUGCUCUGUGAUACGUUCUCAAUGAGUCGAGUUGUUUGGGAAUGCAGCUCUAAAUGGGUGGUAAAUUCCAUCUAAGGCUAAAUAUUGGCGAGAGACCGAUAGCGAACAAGUACCGUGAGGGAAAGAUGAAAAGCACUUUGGAAAGAGAGUUAAACAGCACGUGAAAUUGUUAAAAGGGAAACGAUUGAAGUCAGUCGUGUGGGAAGUAUUCAGCCGUCUCUGGCGGUGUAUUUGCUUCUCACGGGUCAACAUCAGUUUGAUCCGGUAGAAAAAGGCGGGAAGAAGGUGGCACCCUCGGGUGUGUUAUAGCUUCCUGUCAUAUGUGCCGGACCAGACUGAGGAACGCAGCUUGCAGCAAUGCCGGGGUUCGCCCACGUACAAGCUUAGGAUGUUGACAUAAUGGCUUUAAACGACCCGUCUU
Molecule: ribosomal RNA, 582 nt
Filed under: Vishniacozyma carnescens
Lineage: Eukaryota; Fungi; Basidiomycota; Tremellomycetes; Tremellales; Bulleribasidiaceae
Description: partial large subunit ribosomal RNA
Rfam family: Eukaryotic large subunit ribosomal RNA
Source: RNAcentral